Molecule: long non-coding RNA, 430 nt
Organism: Pan troglodytes (chimpanzee)
Lineage: Eukaryota; Metazoa; Chordata; Mammalia; Primates; Hominidae
Exons: 3
Source: RefSeq, a predicted model, not a curated record
AAGAACAGGGACUUAGAAAAGCUUAGACAUUCAUAGGAAUAAGACCUCCCACUAUUUAUUGGUUGAUUACAAGCUCAGUAUGAUUCAAUUGAUGAUUAGAUAGUAGACAUCACCUGUUACAAUUGGAGCCCUGUGGCCAAGAGGACGCCUAUGAACUAUUUCACCUGAUUAGGCCACGCUGGAAUUUUGUGCUUGGUGGAAGAUUUUCCCUAUUCCACAUUUUGGAAGUAUCAAGAGCUGUUUCAUGAGAUAAGCUGGCGAGAGGAAAUAGACUACUCUGGUAGGAAACUAGAGCAGGUGUACUCAAGGUAACAUUCUGCCUACUUCCUGGUCUACUAGUUCAAGAAAAACGUUUGUUUUGAGUGCCACACGGCGAACCCAUUUUAGAAGUGUUUCUAUUACUAAUAAAACAUUUGCAUAUUUGGAUAGU